This 485-nucleotide ribosomal RNA is filed under the name Pichia membranifaciens. RNAcentral's name for it is "SSU rRNA". It matches the Rfam family "Eukaryotic small subunit ribosomal RNA", at positions 1324 to 1831 of the family's 1831-position model. The record is from RNAcentral. Lineage: Eukaryota; Fungi; Ascomycota; Pichiomycetes; Pichiales; Pichiaceae.
UGCGAUAACGGACGAGACCUUAACCUGCUAAAUAGGGCUGCGAGCAUCUGCUCGUGGGCUCUUCUUAGAGGGACUAUGGGUAUCAAACCCAUGGAAGUUUGAGGCAACAACAGGUCUGUGAUGCCCUUAGACGUUCUGGGCCGCACGCGCGCUACACUGACGGAGCCAGCAAGUACAACCUUGGUCGAGAGGCCCGGGUAAUCUCGUGAAACUCCGUCGUGCUGGGGAUAGAGCAUUGUAAUUUUUGCUCUUCAACGAGGAAUUCCUAGUAAGCGCAAGUCAUCAGCUUGCGUUGAUUACGUCCCUGCCCUUUGUACACACCGCCCGUCGCUACUACCGAUUGAAUGGCUUAGUGAGGCUUCAGGAUUGGCGCCGCGGGAGGGGCAACUUUCCCAUGGCGCGGAGAAUCUAGACAAACUUGGUCAUUUAGAGGUCGUAAAAGUCGUAACAAGGUUUCCGUAGGUGAACCUGCGGAAGGAUCAUUA